This is a small nuclear RNA of Mya arenaria, 172 nucleotides long. RefSeq annotates it as U1 spliceosomal RNA. The record is from RefSeq and is a predicted model, not a curated record. The transcript has a single exon. Lineage: Eukaryota; Metazoa; Mollusca; Bivalvia; Myida; Myidae.
AUUCUUACCUGGUACAGGGGACACCGUGAUUAUAAAGGCGGUUCCACUAGGAAGACACUCUACCAUUGAACAUUGAUUGGGCUGAUGCCUGCGAUAGCCACUAAUGUUAGUUGCUCGGGUACGUAAUAUCUUGGUGUGGGCACAUUCAAAUCAUUGUGAAUGAGUGUGCUAA